UGGGGCUAUGUAGAAUAAGUAGUUAUUUUUAAAAUAUAGAUACCUAGUAUAUAGUAUAAACAAGGAUAGAUAACUACUGAAAAGGUGGUUCAAUAAGUAGAAUAGAUGAAUAGUCAAGAAAAGUAGUUAUCAUCUGUAGUAUAAGAAUUGGUAUCUCGGGGUAGUAUAAGGAGGAUGAGAGAGGGGAAGAAAAUGCCAGACUAUGAUUGUCAUAAGCCGAGGGCAGACUGUGAGAGUUGUGAGCCGAGAGCCAGACUGUGAAAGUUGUGAGCCGGGGUAAGCUUGGUGCUACCUCUUUUCUUUUGUUUGUUAUUUUCUUUGAAUAAGAGGAUUGAAAGUUUUUGAAUAUUGUGAAGUGAAUUAUAGAAUGAAAAUGUGAUUGG
Molecule: long non-coding RNA, 383 nt
Filed under: Physcomitrium patens
Lineage: Eukaryota; Viridiplantae; Streptophyta; Bryopsida; Funariales; Funariaceae
Description: long non-coding RNA (PPAT_LNC005546)
Source: RNAcentral